RNAcentral lists this ribosomal RNA (253 nucleotides) under uncultured bacterium. Its description in RNAcentral is "partial 16S ribosomal RNA". It matches the Rfam family "Bacterial small subunit ribosomal RNA", at positions 524 to 776 of the family's 1533-position model. The record is from RNAcentral.
UACAGAGGUCUCAAGCGUUGUUCGGAUUUAUUGGGCGUAAAGGGCGCGUAGGCGGCCAUUCAAGUGACGGGUGAAAUCCCUCGGCUUAACCGAGGAACUGCCUGUCAGACUGGAUGGCUUGAGACCGGGAGAGGUGAGUGGAAUUCCCAGUGUAGCGGUGAAAUGCGUAGAUAUUGGGAGGAACACCAGUGGCGAAGGCGGCUCACUGGACCGGAACUGACGCUGAGGCGCGAAAGCGUGGGGAGCAAACAGG